Molecule: transfer RNA, 61 nt
Filed under: Ammophila sabulosa
Lineage: Eukaryota; Metazoa; Arthropoda; Insecta; Hymenoptera; Sphecidae
Also listed under: 1 other name
Description: tRNA-Ser
Source: RNAcentral
GAAAUAAUAUAAAAUAAAAAGCUUCUAACUUUUUUAAAAAUGUAAAUUCAUUUUUAUUUCU